RNAcentral lists this ribosomal RNA (306 nucleotides) under Triticum aestivum (bread wheat). RNAcentral's name for it is "partial small subunit ribosomal RNA". The record is from RNAcentral. Lineage: Eukaryota; Viridiplantae; Streptophyta; Magnoliopsida; Poales; Poaceae.
CAGAGCGCUUUCAUAAAAAAGAGGAGUAUUCAUGAUAACUUCAUGUAUGUGCGGAAUAUGGCUCGGCGUCUCAACUGAGGCAAAACACCAUCCUUGUUGUUCAAGCUAGAUAUCCGGAAAGCCUUUGAUUCCGUGCGCUGGGACUACAUUCUUGAUCUUCUAUAACGACGGGGUUUUCCGAGCAUUUUCCGGGAUUGGAUCGCUGCACUUCUUCGUACCUCCUCUUCCAGAGUCUUGCUGAAUGGGGUGCCAGGACAACCGAUAAAGCAUGGCCAGGGCCUACAGCAGGGUGACCUGGUAUCCCCG